GCAAUAAUAGCUUAAUAUAAAGCAUUGGUCUUGUAAACCAAAGAAUGAAAUUUAUUUCUUGUUGCU
RNAcentral lists this transfer RNA (66 nucleotides) under Splendrillia sp. 2 MNHN IM 2013-9750. RNAcentral's name for it is "tRNA-Thr". It matches the Rfam family "tRNA". Rfam says of the family: Transfer RNA (tRNA) molecules are approximately 80 nucleotides in length. The record is from RNAcentral. Lineage: Eukaryota; Metazoa; Mollusca; Gastropoda; Neogastropoda; Drilliidae.